RNAcentral lists this ribosomal RNA (441 nucleotides) under uncultured bacterium. RNAcentral's name for it is "partial 16S ribosomal RNA". It matches the Rfam family "Bacterial small subunit ribosomal RNA", at positions 355 to 788 of the family's 1533-position model. The record is from RNAcentral.
UGGGGAAUUUUUGGACAAUGGGCGCAAGCCUGAUCCAGCCAUGCCGCGUGCGGGAAGAAGACCUUCGGGUUGUAAACCGCUUUGUCAGGGAAGAAAUCUUCUGAGUUAAUACCUCGGGAGGAUGACGGUACCUGAAGAAUAAGCACCGGCUAACUACGUGCCAGCAGCCGCGGUAAUACGUAGGGUGCAAGCGUUAAUCGGAAUACUGGGCGUAAAGCGUGCGCAGGCGGUUUUGUAAGACAGAGGUGAAAUCCCCGGGCUCAACCUGGGAACUGCCUUUGUGACUGCAAGGCUUGAGUGCGGCAGAGGGGGGAUGGAAUUCCGCGUGUAGCGUGAAAUGCGUAGAUAUGCGGAGGAACACCGAUGGCGAAGGCAAUCCCCCUGGGCCUGCACUGACGCUCAUGCACGAAAGCGUGGGGAGCAAACAGGAUUAGAUAGCCC